Molecule: unclassified non-coding RNA, 376 nt
Filed under: uncultured Ktedonobacteria bacterium
Lineage: Bacteria; Bacillati; Chloroflexota; Ktedonobacteria
Description: contains 16S-23S intergenic spacer region
Source: RNAcentral
UCCGGUUUGUCACCGGCAGUCUCGCAUGAGUCCCCAACUAAAUGCUGGCAACAUACGACGGGGGUUGCGCUCGUUGCGGGACUUAACCCAACAUCUCACGACACGAGCUGACGACAGCCAUGCAGCAUCUGUACACCCGUCCCGAAGGAGGCACCCCUUUCGAGGUGUUGCGAGUGUAUGUCAAGCCCAGGUAAGGUUCUUCGCGUUGCAUCGAAUUAAACCACACGCUCCGCUGCUUGUGCGGGUCCCCGUCAAUUCCUUUGAGUUUUAGUCUUGCGACCGUACUCCCCAGGCGGGCUACUUAAUGCGUUAGCUUCGGCACAGGAGGGGUCAACACCCCCCACACCUAGUAGCCAUCGUUUACUGCUAGGACUAA